Molecule: long non-coding RNA, 955 nt
Organism: Coregonus clupeaformis (lake whitefish)
Lineage: Eukaryota; Metazoa; Chordata; Actinopteri; Salmoniformes; Salmonidae
Exons: 5
Source: RefSeq, a predicted model, not a curated record
GGGAGUCAUUUCAGACAUUUUAAGACUGGAUGACAUACAAUUUUCAGGUUACCCUACAUUUAUGCAGGAGUUACCCAAAGUAAUUGAUGUGGAUCAAGAAGCAACACCACAAACAGAAGUGAUUGUUAUAGAGGAUAACGAGUUUGAGGAACAACAGACAGAAGCUGUAUCUUUACUCAGUCACUCGCCAUCAAGAUAUUUUAGACCUGACACUCCAUGUAGAAGCGUGUACAGCGUUCAACCCAGGCAUUAUGGACUCCUCCGUUGAAUGACUGCUUGAAUGAUUGUGAAAAUGACGUUCUCCUCUCGUUCUGUACAGCAGGCUUUGACAUAGACGAAACUCCAACCAACCCAAGAACAGAGGGAUUGUCAUACCUAGACACGCCUCCAAACCCCCCCGAGGCGUUCAGUAUAUAAUAGGGCACGGACACUAUUUCAAAGUCCAGCACGGCUCCACAGACACAUAGUUCAAGUUGACAGAAUGGCUUCACCUUUGACCGAGGAGAACGAUUGGUCUGAAAACGACUGGAUUGAAGAACAUGCUCUUUAUGGAAAUGGCCUGUUUUAUUAUAGUUAUAAUUUUUAAUGACUAUGUUAAAAACAAUAUUAUGAUUAUUAUUUUUGUAAAAAGACAGACUCAGACAAUGGACAGCGGGAAGAAAACAGGCCUUCCAUGACUCCACAGAAAAACAGGUUUAGUCAACAAACAGACAGCUAUUUCCCUGUAACCCAAGUCCGAACAGUGAGAAACAGAAACAGCCUAUACAAGCAUAGCAGACCCAAUACAACAAGAGGAAGAGGAGGAAGAGGAGGAAGAGGAGGAAGAGGAGGAAGAGGAUGAUUCAAUGAUGAUAUACUGAUUACUGCAUCUAAACAGGUCAAUAAAUUCAAUGAUGAUAGUGUCAAUGAUGUUGAUGAUGAGGAUGAUGUGUUGAUGUAUGAUGAGGAUGAUGUG